RNAcentral lists this ribosomal RNA (700 nucleotides) under Pseudomonas sp. M149_1. RNAcentral describes it as "bacterial SSU rRNA". It matches the Rfam family "Bacterial small subunit ribosomal RNA", at positions 59 to 754 of the family's 1533-position model. Lineage: Bacteria; Pseudomonadati; Pseudomonadota; Gammaproteobacteria; Pseudomonadales; Pseudomonadaceae. The record is from RNAcentral.
CAGUCGAGCGGAUGAGAGGAGCUUGCUCCUGGAUUCAGCGGCGGACGGGUGAGUAAUGCCUAGGAAUCUGCCUGGUAGUGGGGGACAACGUUUCGAAAGGAACGCUAAUACCGCAUACGUCCUACGGGAGAAAGCAGGGGACCUUCGGGCCUUGCGCUAUCAGAUGAGCCUAGGUCGGAUUAGCUAGUUGGUGAGGUAAUGGCUCACCAAGGCGACGAUCCGUAACUGGUCUGAGAGGAUGAUCAGUCACACUGGAACUGAGACACGGUCCAGACUCCUACGGGAGGCAGCAGUGGGGAAUAUUGGACAAUGGGCGAAAGCCUGAUCCAGCCAUGCCGCGUGUGUGAAGAAGGUCUUCGGAUUGUAAAGCACUUUAAGUUGGGAGGAAGGGUUGUAGAUUAAUACUCUGCGAUUUUGACGUUACCGACAGAAUAAGCACCGGCUAACUCUGUGCCAGCAGCCGCGGUAAUACAGAGGGUGCAAGCGUUAAUCGGAAUUACUGGGCGUAAAGCGCGCGUAGGUGGUUUGUUAAGUUGGAUGUGAAAUCCCCGGGCUCAACCUGGGAACUGCAUCCAAAACUGGCAAGCUAGAGUAUGGUAGAGGGUGGUGGAAUUUCCUGUGUAGCGGUGAAAUGCGUAGAUAUAGGAAGGAACACCAGUGGCGAAGGCGACCACCUGGACUGAUACUGACACUGAGGUGC